This is a long non-coding RNA of Aethalodelphis obliquidens (Pacific white-sided dolphin), 181 nucleotides long. RefSeq lists it as uncharacterized. NCBI's taxonomy places the organism in Eukaryota, Metazoa, Chordata, Mammalia, Artiodactyla, Delphinidae. The transcript is spliced from 3 exons. The record is from RefSeq and is a predicted model, not a curated record.
GGAAUGGCUGUGUUCAAUGAGAACUUUAUUUAUGGAUACUGAAAUUUAAAUUUCAUAUAAUUUUCAUGUUGUCAUAAACUAUUAUUCUUUUCACUUGUUCCUCCAUUAAAAUAAUUUUAAAAAUCAGAUCAUGGGUCAUACAAAAAGAGUCAGUGAGGCUCUGGCCAUGAGUCAUAGUCAG